This 72-nucleotide transfer RNA is filed under the name Camelus bactrianus (Bactrian camel). It matches the Rfam family "tRNA". Rfam says of the family: Transfer RNA (tRNA) molecules are approximately 80 nucleotides in length. The record is from Rfam by way of RNAcentral. RNAcentral also lists the same sequence under 2 other names. Lineage: Eukaryota; Metazoa; Chordata; Mammalia; Artiodactyla; Camelidae.
AAGGGUGUAGCUCAGUGACAGAGUGCAUGCUUAGCAUGGAGGAGAUCCUGGGUUCAAUCCCCAGUACCUCUA